AUGGACAAGGAGGAGCAAGAAGACCGCGCGACGUGGGUCCCCGGCGCCCUCAUCGUCGGCGCGGGCCCGUCGGGGCUGGCAGCCGCCGCGUGCCUCGCGGCUCGCGGCGUGCCGGCCACGGUGCUCGAGAGGUCCGACUCGCUGGCCUUUGCGUGGCGCCACCGCAUGUACGACCGCCUCGCGCUCCACCUGCCCAAGCGCUUCUGCGAGCUGCCGCUCCUCCCGUUCCCGGCCGAGUACCCGACCUACCCCUGCAAGGACCAGUUCGUGGCGUACAUGGAGGCGUACGCCGCCGCGGCGGGCGUGGCCCCUCGCUUCGGCGCCAGCGUCGAGGAGGCCGCGUUCGACGCGUCUGCGGGCGCCUGGGCGGUGCGCCUGGCGGGCGGCGAGGUGCUGAUGACCAAGUGGCUGGUCGUGGCGACGGGCGAGAACGCCGAGCCGCACGUCCCGGACUUCCCCGGCAUGCGGCAGUUCGCCGGGCGCGUCCUGCACACGUGCGAGUACAAGUGCGGCGAGGAGUUCGCCGGGGAAAAGGUGUUGGUGGUGGGGUGCGGGAACUCCGGCAUGGAGGUGAGCUUGGAUUUGUGCCGGCAUGGCGCUAAGCCCUCCAUGGUGGUGCGGAACACGGUCCAUGUGCUGCCAAAGGAGAUGUUGGGUGUGUCCACGUUUGGCAUUGCCAUGGCUUUGCUCAAAUGGCUGCCGGUCCAGCUGGUGGAUCGGUUCAUCCUGGCGGCGGCGCGCUUGACCCUGGGCAACACGAGCCAGCUCGGGCUUAGGCGGCCCAAGACGGGGCCCAUCGAGCUGAAGAACCUCACCGGCAGAACCCCCGUGCUGGACGUCGGGACUCUAGACCACAUCAAAUCAGGCAAAAUUAAGGUGGUAGGAGCAGUGAAGGAGGUGACGAGGCUCGGGGCCAGGCUCGCGGACGGCAAGGAGGAGCAGCAGUUCGACGCAAUAAUACUGGCGACGGGCUACAGGAGCAACGUGCCGUCCUGGCUCAAGGAUGGGGGUGAUGUCUUCACAACAGAAGGCACGCCCAAAACCCCUUUCCCUGACGGCUGGAAAGGGCGAAACGGGCUCUACACCGUCGGAUUCUCGCAGCGAGGGCUCCUCGGAACAUCAUCAGACGCCCUAUGCAUCGCCAGAGAUAUAUAUGGCCAAUGGAGGGAAAGAGAAAGAGAACGAGAAAGAGAUAAACCCACUAGCAAUGUGCACUAA
This 1218-nucleotide ribosomal RNA is filed under the name Triticum aestivum (bread wheat). RNAcentral describes it as "partial small subunit ribosomal RNA". Lineage: Eukaryota; Viridiplantae; Streptophyta; Magnoliopsida; Poales; Poaceae. The record is from RNAcentral.